This 346-nucleotide unclassified non-coding RNA is filed under the name soil metagenome. RNAcentral describes it as "partial contains 5.8S ribosomal RNA, internal transcribed spacer 2, and large subunit ribosomal RNA". The stretch from base 1 to 120 matches the Rfam family "5.8S ribosomal RNA", at positions 35 to 154 of the family's 154-position model. The record is from RNAcentral.
GAUGAAGAACGUAGCGAAAUGCGAUAAGUAAUGUGAAUUGCAGAAUUCAGUGAAUCAUCGAGUCUUUGAACGCACAUUGCGCCCCCUGGUAUUCCGGGGGGCAUGCCUGUCCGAGCGUCAUUGCUGCCCUCAAGCACGGCUUGUGUGUUGGGCCGUCGUCCCCCUCCUAGGGGACGGGCCCGAAAGGCAGCGGCGGCACCGCGUCCGGUCCUCGAGCGUAUGGGGCUUCGUCACCCGCUCCGUAGGCCCGGCCGGCGCUUGCCGACGACCAUCAAUCUCUUUCUCCAGGUUGACCUCGGAUCAGGUAGGGAUACCCGCUGAACUUAAGCAUAUCAAUAAGCGGGGA